This is a non-coding RNA of Lolium perenne, 488 nucleotides long. Lineage: Eukaryota; Viridiplantae; Streptophyta; Magnoliopsida; Poales; Poaceae. The record is from RefSeq and is a predicted model, not a curated record.
UUUGCCUCUCGACGACGAGCCCGGCUUCCUCGUCCUCCUCCAUGAUUUCUACGUGGCGCUAGUAGGACGGUGCCGCGGACGCAACCCUGGCGCCUCGGUCCGCUGCCCUGUGGCCUUUGCCAUUGCGGAUGCUGCUGUUGCUCAUGAUGGAGCUACUGCUGUGAGCUGUGGUGCUCGACAUCGAUGGACGGCGCUGCAAGCGCAACCUCGGUGUCGAAUAGCUCGCCUACGCCAUGUAUUCUACUAUUGAUGCUUUGUUUGGUGGCUUGCUUAUGAGCUUAGAUAUAUACUUUAUUACUGUGCUGCAACUAUGGUACUACUUGGUUGGCCUGGGAUGAUUUCCUGGACCCUAUGUAAAUCCUGGUGACAUGUUAAUUAGUAGUGGCUGUUUAUGGUGAUGACUCAAUCAAAUGCACAAAUGCUACUGGUCAAAUCCUUGCUUAAUAAAUACAGUGGUGUCUCGAAUUGGAUAAUUAAUUAUCCAGGCA